UAUACCACACACAUAUGAUCAAAGACAUCAAUGAAAUUAAGGAUAAUAAUAUAAAUGAUAAAAUAAUACAAAGAUGAAAAGUGGCAAAUAUGGUAAAUAGUAUGAUUACAUACUGUAGAUGCAAGCCACUAUCUAUAGUGUCAUCAAGUAACUCUUGUAUCUGUUUAUAUACACAUGAAAAUGUUGUGUUCCUAAUAUUCAAUCUUUGUUACACUCAAAGUGGAGAAUUAGUUUCUAGAAUUAUGCCACAUUUAAUUUUCCAGUUCAAAAAGUAUGUUUACACUUUACAACCUUUUGGUAUUUACAUCAAAUGUAUUAAAGUCAGGAUAUGAAGUUUUUACUUGGAGAACUGAGUGUUGUUUGAUUCCUGGUUUUUAUAAUUUUCAUUCCGAAAAUGUUGGUGACAUUUCGAAACAAUAGAAUUAUCCAGGUUGACCUACAUGUUUUGACUCCUUCCACUUAAUAGACUCACACACAAAGAACAUUUGAACACUCUGCUUAAAACUUGACUAAAGGAUGAAUGUUAUAGUAAUAAUCUAUAACCAAUAAUCAGAUGUAUCUUCUGUAUAUCAUUGAAGGAACUGACAUGUCACUCUAAAUGUGUUUUGAGUGGUAAUAAUUGUAAAGGCAUAGAUAUAGUGGUAACUAUAAUUUUUUUGUUGAUAAAUUCGUAAAAGGCCUUCAGAACCUAUCUAUCAAUCCUGAAGCAACUUCUUCAAAAUUAUGUUUUAAAUUUCCAUGAAGGUUUGAAAAAGUUAUGGAUAUAUACUAGACAAAGUGAUGCCCCUGC
RNAcentral lists this long non-coding RNA (790 nucleotides) under Mytilus galloprovincialis (Mediterranean mussel). The record is from RNAcentral. Lineage: Eukaryota; Metazoa; Mollusca; Bivalvia; Mytilida; Mytilidae.